CGGAGGUGAUGAGCGCUUUUGUGCCUGACGCGUCCAGCUGUGGAGGCCAAAGCUGAUUUAAUGAGCCUGAUCC
Small nucleolar RNA from Varanus komodoensis (Komodo dragon), 73 nucleotides. The record is from Ensembl. Lineage: Eukaryota; Metazoa; Chordata; Lepidosauria; Squamata; Varanidae.